This 433-nucleotide ribosomal RNA is filed under the name uncultured bacterium. Its description in RNAcentral is "partial 16S ribosomal RNA". It matches the Rfam family "Bacterial small subunit ribosomal RNA", at positions 29 to 507 of the family's 1533-position model. The record is from RNAcentral.
AGCGAACGCUGGCGGCAGGCCUAACACAUGCAAGUCGAACGGCCCCUUCGGGGUUAGUGGCGGACGGGUGAGUAGCACGUGGGAACGUGCCUUUAGGUUCGGAAUAGCUCCUGGAAACGGGUGGUAAUGCCGAAUGUGCCCUUCUGGGGAAAGAUUUAUCGCCUUUAUAGCGGCCCGCGUCUGAUUAGCUAUUUGGUGAGGUAACGGCGCACCAAGGCUACGAUCAUUAGCUGGUCUGAGAGGAUGGCCAGCCACACUGGGACUGAGACACGGCCCAGAAUCCUGCGGGAGGCAGCAGUGGGGAAUCUUGCGAAAUGGGCGAAAGCAUGAAGCAGCCAUGCCGCGUGAAUGAUGAAGGUCUUAGGAUUGUAAAAUUCUUUAACCGGGGACGAUAAUGACGGUACCCGGAGAAGAAGCCCCGGCUAACUUCGUG